GAAAAUGAGAUUUUUUUAAUGGUCUUAAGUAGAGCAGCAAUUUCGGGACAUGGACGUCCUGAAAAGUCCGCUAUGAGCCCGGAUGGCGAAUUGCGGAUGGUUGCGUUCGGUAAAGUUUUCUUCCUUAAGAACAUUUAGAAAAUUCAUUUUC
This 151-nucleotide non-coding RNA is filed under the name human gut metagenome. The record is from RNAcentral.